RNAcentral lists this ribosomal RNA (130 nucleotides) under uncultured Alphaproteobacteria bacterium. RNAcentral describes it as "partial 16S ribosomal RNA". It matches the Rfam family "Bacterial small subunit ribosomal RNA", at positions 339 to 486 of the family's 1533-position model. The record is from RNAcentral. Lineage: Bacteria; Pseudomonadati; Pseudomonadota; Alphaproteobacteria.
CUACGGGAGGCAGCAGUUGGGAAUCUUGGACAAUGGGGGAAACCCUGAUCCAGCCAUGCCGCGUGAGUGAUGAAGGCCUUCGGGUUGUAAAGCUCUUUUACCCGGGAAGAUAAUGACUGUACCGGGAGAA